Molecule: long non-coding RNA, 817 nt
Filed under: Citrus sinensis (sweet orange)
Lineage: Eukaryota; Viridiplantae; Streptophyta; Magnoliopsida; Sapindales; Rutaceae
Description: long non-coding RNA (CSIN_LNC000691)
Source: RNAcentral
GCCCGAACCCGAACAGCACACCCCAAUCUAGCCCUUCGCCGGUGGUGGCUUUCGCUUCCUCAGCAGACUUCUUUCUCAUCUCGUCAAGGAUGAACAGGACACAAGCGCUUGACAUGUUACCGUACUCACUCAACACUUGACGUGUGGCCUUCAGCUUCUCCUCUUUGAGGCCGAGUUUAGACUCCACUUGGUCCAGAAUUGCGGGCCCACCGGGGUGAGCGAUCCAGAAUAUCGAGUUCCAGUCGCUGAUGCCAACCGGGGCGAACGCUUCCGACAGGCUUUUCUCUAUAUUCUUUGAGAUCAAGCCGGGGACGUCUUUAAGCAAAUGGAAAGUGAGACCGACUUCGCGCAAGUGUCCGUCAAUUGCACCGUCAGAGUCAGGGAGGAUCGUCUGCGAAGUCGACACAAGCUGAUACAACGGACGCUCGACCGACGUGUCAGGAUCGGCACCCACGAUCACAGCAGCAGCACCAUCACCGAACAAAGCCUGGCCCACAAGAGAAUCAAGAUGAGUAUCGGCAGGGCCGCGGAAAGUGACCGCCGUGAUCUCCGAACAGACAACAAGAACGCGAGCGCCCUUGUUGUUCUCAGCCAAGUCUUUAGCGAGGCGAAGAACAGUGCCGCCGGCGAAACAUCCUUGUUGGUACAUCAUGAAGCGCUUGACGGAAGGGCGCAGGCCGAGCAGUUUGGUGAGCUGGUAGUCGGCGCCGGGCAUGUCGACGCCGGAGGUGGUGCAGAAGAUGAGGUGGGUGAUCUUAGACUUGGGCUGGCCCCAUUCUUUGAUGGCCUUUGUAGCAGCUUCUUUCCCGAGCUUCGG